This 253-nucleotide ribosomal RNA is filed under the name uncultured bacterium. RNAcentral's name for it is "partial 16S ribosomal RNA". It matches the Rfam family "Bacterial small subunit ribosomal RNA", at positions 524 to 776 of the family's 1533-position model. The record is from RNAcentral.
UACGGAGGGGGCUAGCGUUGUUCGGAAUUACUGGGCGUAAAGCGCACGUAGGCGGCUUUGCAAGUUAGAGGUGAAAGCCCGGGGCUUAACCUGGGAAUGGCCGUUGAAACUGGCGAACUGGAGUGUGGCAGAGGGGGAUGGAAUUCCGCGUGUAGCAGUGAAAUGCGUAGAUAUGCGGAGGAACACCGAUGGCGAAGGCAAUCCCCUGGGCCUGCACUGACGCUCAUGCACGAAAGCGUGGGGAGCAAACAGG